RNAcentral lists this ribosomal RNA (274 nucleotides) under uncultured bacterium. Its description in RNAcentral is "partial 16S ribosomal RNA". It matches the Rfam family "Bacterial small subunit ribosomal RNA", at positions 523 to 796 of the family's 1533-position model. The record is from RNAcentral.
AUACGGAGGGUGCAAGCGUUAUUCGGAAUCACUGGGCGUAAAGGACGCGUAGGCGGGUUGGCAAGUCAGAUGUGAAAUCCUACAGCUUAACUGUAGAACUGCAUUUGAAACUGCUAACCUAGAGUAUGGGAGGGGGAGAUGGAAUUAGUGGUGUAGGGGUAAAAUCCGUAGAUAUCUCUAGGAAUACCGAAAGCGAAGGCGAUCUCCUGGAACAUAACUGACGCUCAGGCGUGAAAGCGUGGGGAGCAAACAGGAUUAGAAACCCUUGUAGUCC